GUUGAAGAACGCAGCGAAAUGCGAUAAGUAGUGUGAAUUGCAGAAUUCAGUGAAUCAUCGAAUCUUUGAACGCACAUUGCGCCCUUUGGUAUUCCUUAGGGCAUGCCUGUUCGAGCGUCAUUUAAACCUUCAAGCUCAGCUUGGUGUUGGGUGACUGUCCGCUUCACCGCGGACUCGCCUCAAAAUUAUUGGCGGCCGGUACAUUGGCUUCGAGCGCAGCAGAAACGCGAACUCGGGCCCGUCGUAUUGGCUCCCAGAAGCUAUCUUCACAAUUUUGACCUCGGAUCAGGUAGGGAUACCCGCUGAACUUAAGCAUAUCAAUAAGCGGAGGA
RNAcentral lists this unclassified non-coding RNA (332 nucleotides) under soil metagenome. RNAcentral describes it as "partial contains 5.8S ribosomal RNA, internal transcribed spacer 2, and large subunit ribosomal RNA". The stretch from base 1 to 120 matches the Rfam family "5.8S ribosomal RNA", at positions 35 to 154 of the family's 154-position model. The record is from RNAcentral.